RNAcentral lists this long non-coding RNA (332 nucleotides) under Phaseolus vulgaris (common bean). RNAcentral describes it as "long non-coding RNA (PVUL_LNC005042)". The record is from RNAcentral. Lineage: Eukaryota; Viridiplantae; Streptophyta; Magnoliopsida; Fabales; Fabaceae.
UUCUUCUGCUGGUUUUCCCUGCAUUUUAACCGAUUCGCAUCAUCCUGUAACUGCCUGGUGCAUACGUUGUGGGUUGCUUUUGCCAUUUCUCCUUCUUCGUAACUUAGGGCUUCGUCAAUCGUUGCAACGAACCUACGUUCGUUCGUUUUUCACCUUUCUUCCAUGAUCGAGUCAGCCUCUGUGACCCCUGAUCAUUUUUUCCUUUUCUUCUUCCUUUGCAGCUUCCAUCAUGACUCGCACCAAGAUCACCCCGAAUCCUCCUCCUUCAUCGCGAAACCCUUCUUCUCAAGCACUCAACCCACCGCGAGCACGCGGUGCUUCAUCUUCCCAGG